Molecule: ribosomal RNA, 171 nt
Filed under: uncultured bacterium
Lineage: Bacteria
Description: partial 16S ribosomal RNA
Source: RNAcentral
CACGCCCUAAACGAUGGAUACUCGACAUUUGCGAUACACAGCAAGUGUCUGAGCGAAAGCAUUAAGUAUCCCACCUGGGAAGUACNUACGCGAGGAACCUUACCUGGGCUAGAAUGUCAGUGGACCGUGGGUGAAAGCUCAUUUUAUAGCAAUAUACCGCUGAUAAGGUGC